ACCCUUAGAUGUUCUGGGCCGCACGCGCGCUACACUGACGGAGGCAGCGAGCAUGUCCUUCGCCGAGAGGUGUGGGGAAUCUUGUGAGUCUCCGUCGUGCUGGGGAUAGAUGGUUGCAAUUGUCGAUCUUGAACGAGGAAUUCCUAGUAAGCGCGAGUCAUCAGCUCGCGCUGAUUACGUCCCUGCCCUUUGUACACACCGCCCGUCGCUACUACCGAUUGGAUGGUUUAGCGAGAGUUUUGGAUCGGAGCUCGGGUGGUCAGCAAUGGUUGCCCGAGACUUACUGAGAAAUCACUCCAGCUGUAUCAUCUAGAGGAAGUAAAAGUCGUAACA
This 333-nucleotide ribosomal RNA is filed under the name uncultured eukaryote. Its description in RNAcentral is "partial 18S ribosomal RNA". It matches the Rfam family "Eukaryotic small subunit ribosomal RNA", at positions 1469 to 1796 of the family's 1831-position model. The record is from RNAcentral.